Molecule: RNA transcript, 6394 nt
Organism: Mus musculus (house mouse)
Lineage: Eukaryota; Metazoa; Chordata; Mammalia; Rodentia; Muridae
Gene: Zfp451
Gene name: zinc finger protein 451
Exons: 16
Source: RefSeq, marked validated
UUUUUGUUUUUUUGUUUUUUUUUUUUUUUGAGACAGGGUUUCUCUGUGUAUUCCUGGCUGUCUUGGAACUCUCUCUGUAGACCAGGCUGGCCUUGAACUCAGAAAUCCGACUGCCUCUGCCUCCCAAGUGCUGGGAUUAAAGGCGUGCGCCACCACCGGCCCGGCUCGGUUUUAUUUUAUAAGAGUCCAAGUGUAUCUUGAAAAAUUACAUUAUACCCCUGGGAUUUAGCUGCUUUUACUUUCCCGCUGAACUCUGUACUCUAGUUUUACUCCUUGCUCCUCUCUCUGGUCCUUGAGUGAGACUGAAUAUUUACUAGCACCGGGAGAUAGAAAACAUGAGAGAGAUUGAGUAGCUCAAGUGCUUCAGGUCUUGGACUUCACUUAAACCUAUCCAUCCAUCUAUCGAUCCAUCCUUCCUUCUGGCCCGAAACAAAGACCACUGAGCAUUGCUUUCAUAGCAGUAUGAUCACUAAAGGUCUGAAAGGGUUAACUGACAUUACUAGGACUGUUUUGCCCACACCUCUGUGUUCCACUCUCCAAGUAAUUAACCUAUCAACUCAACCUAGCCUGAAAAGAACAAGGGAGAAACAGGAAAGGCUAGGGGCAGCCCUCUGGAACCUUAUCAGUAAUGCUACUUUUAGUUUACAGGAACCUGUGGACAACAAGGAAGCCCCUUUGUGAGACUUCUGCGAGAAUUAAUGACCUCUCAGGAAUGCCAUAUAUAAGCUCUUGCCCUUGCUUUGCCAAGAUGUAAUUGGGAGGAAAAAGUCUUCCAUGUUUUCAUCUGCCUUGCUUGUUGCCAGUGGGGCUCUUUUCCUGUCAGUGUCUCUAAGUGAAAGGCGGCAGCGGAACGAGAAUUGGCGUGGACUCAAAACUACAUCAAGACCCUCACCACCUCCUCCUGCCAUCUUCCGGAGAUGCAGAUGAGCGCCGAGCUCCGGAUCCUCGCCACCUUUCCCCGCCACGCGGUCGUCAGCCUCGAGACCGGCGGAAACUACGACUCCCAGAAUCCCUCGCGGGGCGGGAGGAAGGCGGGGAGCGUACAAAGCGGCGCUGGAAGCUAGCGGCAGUGAGGCCGCGCUUGGGGUCCGGCAGCUUGGCGUCCCCGCGGCCUGAGGCGUCAGCUGCGUGGGCGCUCACGCAGGGCGGGUCGCGCGGCGCCGGGCGAGAGGGAAGUCGUGGCGGCGGCGUCGGGAACAGCAGCGGCGGCGGCGGGAGCGUGGUGCUGACAGGCCGUGGGAGAAAUGGGAGACCCAGGGCCGGAGAUAAUAGAAUCUGUCCCACCAGCUGGGCCCGAGGCAUCAGAGUCUACCACGGAUGAAAACGAAGAUGACAUUCAGUUUGUUAGUGAAGGACCGUUAAGACCCGUUUUGGAAUACAUUGAUCUAGUCAGCAGUGAUGAUGAAGAGCCUAGUACCUCUCACAGUGAUGAGAAUUUUAAAUGCAAAGACUAUAUAGAUCACCAGAAGGAUAAAGUUGCUUUAACUUUGGCUCGCCUGGCCCGCCAUGUUGAAGUAGAAAAACAACAGAAAGAAGAGAAGAACAGGGCAUUUAGGGAAAAAAUUGAUUUUCAGCACGCUCAUGGUUUACAAGAGUUGGAGUUUAUUCAAGGACAUUCAGAAACAGAAGCAGCAAGACAGUGUGUGGACCAGUGGCUAAAAAUGCCAGGACUCAGAACAAAUGCAGCUAAUUCUGGAACAAAAAGAUCAUUCCAACGUGGAGGCAGGAUGUGGAGGUCUGAGAAGCCAAUUUUGUGUCCUAUAAUGCACUGUAACAAGGAAUUUGACAAUGGGCACCUUCUGUUGGGACAUUUGAAAAGGUUUGAUCACUCCCCAUGUGAUCCCACAAUUACGUUACAUGGACCUCUGGCUAAUUCGUUUGCAUGUGCAGUGUGCUAUGAACAUUUCGUUACUCAACAGCAGUACAAGGACCAUCUUCUCUCCAGGACAGCUGCAGCCGAUGGACAUAGCAAUAGCCUUCUUCCUCAGAUUAUUCAAUGUUAUGCUUGUCCACAGUGCUUCCUUUUGUUUAGCACCAAGGAUGAGUGUUUGAAGCAUAUGUCUACAAAGAAUCAUUUCCAUCAGAGCUUUAAACUGAGUGAUAAUAAAGGAACGGCCCGCCCAAUAUCAUUUCCAUCUUUUGCAAAGAAGCGUUUGGUCUCUCUGUGCAAAGAUGUUCCAUUUCAGGUUAAGUGUGUGGCCUGCCACCAGACUCUGCGUUCUCACAUGGAGCUCACUGCCCAUUUCAGGGUUCGUUGUCAAAAUGCUGGACCUGUUGCUAUAGCUGAAAAAAGCAUUACUCAGGUUGCAAAAGAAUUCAUAGUAAGAGGUUAUUGUUCAGAUUGCAACCAGGUCUUUAUGGAUGUAGCCAGCACCCAAAGUCACAAGAAUUCAGGACACAAAAUUACACUUGCGAACUCGGUGGAAGAAUCUGUCUUGCUUUAUUGCCACAUCAGUGAAGGGAGUCGGCCUCCUUGUGAUUUACAUUUAUUUAGUCAACCAAAAAUUUCAUCACUUAAACGGAUUCUGUCCGUUAAAGAGUCCAGUGCAGAGGAUUGUAUCGUUCCGACAAAGAAGGUGAACUUAGGUGUUGAAAGCCUUGGAGGUGCAACUCGUGUGCAGAGGCAGAGUCCAGCAGUCACAGCCUGGUUUUGUGAAUGCAGACGGCAGUUUCCCAGUGAAGAGGCGGUAGAAAAGCAUGUUUUCUCGGCAAACACAAUGUGUUAUAAGUGUGUGGUCUGUGGAAAGGUUUGUGAAGAUUCGGGGGUCAUGCGUUUACACAUGAGCCGGUUUCAUGGAGGGGCGCAUUUAAAUAACUUUCUAUUUUGGUGUCGGACGUGCAAAAAGGAGUUAGUAAAGAAAGAUGCCAUCAUGGCACACAUUACUGAGUUUCAUAGUGGGCAUAGAUAUUUUUAUGAGAUGGAUGAGGUAGAGGAGGAAGAGGAGGAGGCCAUGCCGUCAUCCUCUGUGGAGAGCCAUUUGAAUACUGACAAACCUCCUUCACCCAUUGCUGUUGUUGAUCACUGCCCGGCCAACAGUCCUCCCAGGGGCAGGUGGCAGUGCCGCAUCUGUGAGGACAUGUUUGAAUCCCAGGAGUGUGUGAAGCAGCACUGCAUGUCCUUGACAAGCCACCGGUUUCACAGAUACAGCUGUGCCCACUGCAGAAAGACUUUCCAUAAAGUGGAAACUCUGUACCGACAUUGCCAGGACGAGCAUGACAGUGAGAUCAUGAUGAAGUACUUCUGUGGGCUUUGUGAUCUCAUUUUUAACAAGGAAGAAGAAUUUCUGAGUCACUAUAAGGAACACCACAGCAUAGAUUAUGUGUUUGUGUCAGAAAAAACUAAAACCUCAAUUAAAACUGAAGGCGAUUUUAAAAUAGUAGAGACCAGUAGUUUACUAAGCUGUGGCUGUCAUGAGAGUUACAUGUGUAAAAUCAACAGAAAGGAAGACUAUGACCGAUGCCUUCCAGUCCUGCUGGAGAAAGGUAGGCUGUGGUUUCGCUGCAGCUCGUGCUCAGCCACAGCACAGAAUGUGACCGACAUUAACACUCACGUCUGCCAAGUGCACAGAAAAGAGAAAAGUGAGGAGGAGCAGCAGUAUGUGAUCAAGUGUGGCAUCUGCACCAAGGCAUUCCAGAACACGGAGAGCGCUCAGCAGCACUUCCACAGGAAGCACGCGGCCCUCCAGAAACCCACCGCGACCCCAGGGGGAGCCAACAGAAGCAGCACAUGCCAGCUGGCUGCUAGUGCCUCACAUGCUGAGAAAAACCUGAAACAGCCUAGCUCUCAGAAACAUUCAGACGUGGAAAAAGGAGCUGAGCAUGAUGUACGCUGCCAGAACAUAGAGGAGGAAGUUGAGCUUCCGGAUGUGGACUACCUGCGGACCAUGACUCACAUAGUCUUUGUAGAUUUUGAUAACUGGUCCAACUUUUUUGGUCAUCUACCUGGGCAUCUUAAUCAAGGAACGUUUAUUUGGGGCUUUCAAGGGGGAAACACCAACUGGAAGCCCCCGCUCAGCUGUAAGGUCUAUAAUUACUUGAGCAGGAUUGGCUGCUUCUUCCUUCAUCCUCGCUGCAGUAAAAGAAAAGAUGCCGCGGAUUUUGCCAUAUGUAUGCAUGCUGGCCGUCUAGAUGAGCAACUUCCCAAACAAAUUCCUUUCACCAUCCUCUCGGGAGACCAAGGCUUUCUGGAGCUAGAGAAUCAAUUUAAGAAGACCCAGAGGCCAGCUCAUAUACUAAACCCUCACCACUUAGAGGGAGACAUGAUGUGUGCCUUGUUAAAUAGCAUAUCUGAUACUACCAAAGAGUGUGACAGUGACGAUAGCUCGGGGAUGAAAGGAUCUCCAGCAGAGGAGCUCAGGGCCACGGAGGGCAACCUUGAACUUGCAGUCUUACUGCUUCAGCCUCCCUAGUAGCAGAGAUUACAGGUAAACACCACAUACAUAGAUGCAUUUCUCUGGUUUGGGGCAGAGCUAUAGCUGCUAUCUGUAGAAAGCUGCGACUGUGCCAUACCAGGUUCACUUGAAUUGUCAUCUUCUCAUCCCUGCUGAGCUCCCUGGUGAAGAUGUUAAGGCCGUGCUUAUCACUGCUUCACCAGAACCUAGCACAGCAUGAGCGGAAAUGAUUGUUUGUCGGAUAGAUGAAGUUACAGUAAGAACUUAAAAGUGUGUUAGAUCUACCAGAGCCUGUCUUCCUGCUACUGGAUAAUUACUACAACCUGUUUGAGACAAACUUCAAAAGUUUAGGACUCCUUAAAUUAAUGUCUUCAUCUUUCUCAAUAAUGUUUUGACAGAUGGUGUCAAAGGCAGGUAAAUUUGCUUGUGGUUUUUGCUUUGUUGGGGCAAGCUAAGCUGUUCCCUCCUGUGAUGGUUGCUGUCUGUGAACCAGUAUCAAAUUCUGACCACCCAGGCAGCUACAUGACGUGCAGUGGCUGUGCAAACACUGGAUCCAGUUGCCUGCCUUAGAGGCUGUAUUAUAGUCGCUGGCCAGUCCUGCAAACUUGGGUGUUUAUAUUCUUUUGCUGUGGAUGGUGCUGGAUUGAUAGAAUGACCUCUGGAAAUCAAGUGUUACCCCUUCCAUUCUUGAUACAGAUACAAUAGACAGUCACUUGAUUUUUACAAACUAGUUUUGGAAAAACUAUAUUCCUAAUGUGAUCAUUGGGCUUUUUAACUAGUUUUUGACAGAAUUUUCCCUGAAUUCCAGAAACCUAAAGCCCGCCUCUCCCUGUCUCUGCAGCAACCUAGAGCCCACCUCUCCCUGUCUCUGCAGGCUACUCUGUGCUGGACCCCCCCCCCCCCCCCCCCGGCCAGCCGCGUGUGUGUCAAGCCUGUAGACGAGUUAGUGAUGCAAGGCUCUUCAUAUGGCUUCUGAGCUGACAUCCUGUCCAGGCACACGCAUGGCUUUAUAAAUCCUUCUUGGGUGCCCUAACUUCCCAGAGAGACCCUGUUACUAAGUUUUCUAACCAGGGUUUAAUGGUUGAUUGUAUGAGCAAAAACCAUAUUUUGUUGCAGUCUUAGUUGGGUUAUUAUUUCUGGCUUACAGCACAUCCCCCCUACCGCACAGAGCAUGCUACAUGUUUUGUCCUGAGAGGGUUCUAAGUUAGGGGAAGUAGAUGGCUGGCUGCUUUUCAUUAAUGUUUCAGGUAGCCUUGGAUUUAAGUAUGGGUCUGCUGUGCUCUUUCUGAAUCUGGGUCCAGGAUCCCACAUUGCGAGCAGACUGCUGACUACCUAACAAUGUGGAAUUAGAAGAAGCUAUUAGAAGAAGUCUUGAGGAGAUGUAAUUAAAGAUAUUACCACACAGCAUCAAGUGGCCUUGAAGAGACUCAGGAAAAUGAAACCUUGACCCUGUUUUCUAAAAGAGACCAGGAAGCUACUAGGAUAAAUGUAUCCCAAACGUGUUCUUUUCUAUGUUCAGAAUCUCGUAUUUGCUUUGUAUUUUGUGCUAUUAUGUAAAUAAUGAAUGGAAGGAAGAGAAUGCAUACCAAUGGAAACAUAAACUCAUAUUCUAAUAUGAUGGGUGACACGUUUCUCCAACUAACGCAGAAUUCAUGCAUUUGGGUUACAGCCGUUUUCUAGGAGGAAAGGUGUGUAAAGUUCUCUUUCCUUAGCAGUGCGUCUUUUUUUGUACUUUACAAAUGACUCUUUUAUUUUUUUAGGAAUGAAAAUGAAUAUAAAUAAAAGGUGCCAUAACUCAGUUUUUUUCCAGAAAUUCUCUGUGUUAUGUGACCCUAAUGUAUAAUAUACCUUGGAGAUGACUGUUUAUGAUUAUUAGAAGAGAGCGAUACACAUUGAUCACAGAAACAGAUUCAAGUCAGUGCGGUUCCAUGUGCUAUUAUGCAGCUGUAUGCUUGCUCUGAUUACAGUUGCACCUUACCACAAUAAAAACAUCUUUAAAGCAA